ACGGCUCAGUAACACGUAGGUACCUACCCUCAGGACUGAGAUAACCCCGGGAAACUGGGGCUAAUAUUAGAUAGAUAAAAGGUACUGGAAUGUUCUUUUAUCCAAAGCUUUUGCGCCUGAGGAUGGGCCUGCGUCCGAUUAGGUUGUUGGUGGGGUAAUGGCCCACCAAGCCUGCGAUCGGUACGGGCAGUGAGAGCUGAAGCCCGGAGUUGGGGACUGAGACAAGGCCCCAGGCCCUACGGGGCGCAGCAGGCGCGAAACCUCUGCAAUGCGGGAAACCGUGACAGGGGGAUCCCAAGUGCUCAUGCAUUGCAUGGGCUGUUCUUUGGUCUAAGUAACCAGAGGAGUAAGGGCUGGGCAAGACCGGUGCCAGCCGCCGCGGUAAUACCGGCAGCUCAAGUGGUAGCCGCGAUUAUUGGGCCUAAAGCGUUCGUAGCCGGAUAAGUAAGUCUUUGGUUAAAUCCUACAACUCAACUGUGGGAAAUCUAGGGAUACUACUUGUCUUGAGACCGGGAGAGGUUAGAGGUACUCCUAGGGUAGGGGUGAAAUCCUGUAAUCCUAGGGGGACCACCUGUGGCGAAGGCGUCUAACUGGAACGGGUCUGACGGUGAGGGACGAAACCUAGGGGAGCGAGCCGGAUUAGAUACCCGGGUAGUCCUAGGCGUAAAUGAUGCGAGUUAAGUGUGGGGACAUCUACGAGAUGGCCCUGUGCUGUAGGGUAGCCGUUAAACUCGCCGCCUGGGGAGUACGGUCGCAAGGCUGAAACUUAAAGGAAUUGGCGGGGGAG
RNAcentral lists this ribosomal RNA (787 nucleotides) under uncultured archaeon. Its description in RNAcentral is "bacterial SSU rRNA". It matches the Rfam family "Archaeal small subunit ribosomal RNA", at positions 85 to 876 of the family's 1478-position model. The record is from RNAcentral.